This 1262-nucleotide ribosomal RNA is filed under the name metagenome. RNAcentral describes it as "bacterial LSU rRNA". It matches the Rfam family "Bacterial large subunit ribosomal RNA", at positions 1627 to 2910 of the family's 2925-position model. The record is from RNAcentral.
GCCCGACCGUAUAGACCGUACCCGAAACCGACACAGGUGGUCAGGUAGAGUAUACCAAGGCGCUUGAGAGAACUAUGUUGAAGGAACUCGGCAAAUUGCACGCGUAACUUCGGAAGAAGCGUGACCCCAUUAUACGCAAGUGUGGUGGGGUGGCACAGACCAGGGGGUAGCGACUGUUUAUCAAAAACACAGGGCUCUGCGAAGCCGCAAGGCGACGUAUAGGGUCUGACGCCUGCCCGGUGCUGGAAGGUUAAGAGGAGAGGUGCAAGCUUUGAAUCGAAGCCCCAGUAAACGGCGGCCGUAACAAUAACGGUCCUAAGGUAGCGAAAUUCCUUGUCGGGUAAGUUCCGACCUGCACGAAUGGCGUAACGACUUCCCCGCUGUCUCCAACAUAGACUCAGUGAAAUUGAAUCCCCCGUGAAGAUGCGGGGUUCCUGCGGUCAGACGGAAAGACCCCGUGCACCUUUACUAUAGCUUUACACUGGCAUUCGCCAAGGCAUGUGUAGGAUAGGUGGUAGGCUUUGAAGCUUGGACGCUAGUUUGAGUGGAGCCAUCCUUGAAAUACCACCCUUAUCUUCGUGGAUGUCUAACCGCGAUCCGUCAUCCGGGUCCGGGACAGUGUAUGGUGGGUAGUUUGACUGGGGCGGUCGCCUCCGAAAGAGUAACGGAGGCGCGCGAUGGUGGGCUCAGACCGGUCGGAAAUCGGUCGUCGAGUGCAAUGGCGUAAGCCCGCCUGACUGCGAGACUGACAAGUCGAGCAGAGACGAAAGUCGGUCAUAGUGAUCCGGUGGUCCCGCGUGGAAGGGCCAUCGCUCAACGGAUAAAAGGUACGCCGGGGAUAACAGGCUGAUGACCCCCAAGAGUCCAUAUCGACGGGGUUGUUUGGCACCUCGAUGUCGACUCUUCGCAUCCUGGGGCUGGAGCAGGUCCCAAGGGUAUGGCUGUUCGCCAUUUAAAGCGGUACGUGAGUUGGGUUCAGAACGUCGUGAGACAGUUCGGUCCCUAUCUGCCGUGGGUGUAGGAAUAUUGACAGGAUCUGUCCCUAGUACGAGAGGACCGGGAUGGACGUAUCUCUGGUGGAUCUGUUGUCCUGCCAAGGGCAUAGCAGAGUAGCUAUAUACGGAAUGGAUAACCGCUGAAGGCAUCUAAGCGGGAAACCAACCUGGAAACGAGUGUUCCCUGAGAGCCGUGGAAGACGACCACGUUGAUAGGACGGGUGUGGACGCAAGGCAACUUGUGAAGCUUACCGUUACUAAUAGCUC